AGAGUUUGAUCCUGGCUUAGGAUGAACGCUAGCGACAGGCUUAACACAUGCAAGUCGAGGGGCAGCAUAAAAGUAGCAAUACUUGGUGGCGACCGGCGCACGGGUGAGUAACGCGUAUGCAACCUACCUAUCAGAGGGGAAUAACCCGGCGAAAGUCGGACUAAUACCGCAUAAAACAGGGGCACCGCAUGGUGAUAUUUGUUAAAGAAAUUCGCUGAUAGAUGGGCAUGCGUUCCAUUAGGUAGUUGGUGAGGUAACGGCUCACCAAGCCGACGAUGGAUAGGGGAACUGAGAGGUUGGUCCCCCACACUGGUACUGAGACACGGACCAGACUCCUACGGGAGGCAGCAGUGAGGAAUAUUGGUCAAUGGGCGAGAGCCUGAACCAGCCAAGUCGCGUGGAGGAAGAAGGAUCUAUGGUUCGUAAACUUCUUUUGCAGGGGAAUAAAGUGCAGGACGUGUCCUGUUUUGUAUGUACCCUGAGAAUAAGGAUCGGCUAACUCCGUGCCAGCCGCAGC
Molecule: ribosomal RNA, 517 nt
Filed under: uncultured bacterium
Lineage: Bacteria
Description: bacterial SSU rRNA
Rfam family: Bacterial small subunit ribosomal RNA
Source: RNAcentral